This 227-nucleotide ribosomal RNA is filed under the name Aplanochytrium stocchinoi. Its description in RNAcentral is "partial Bacterial large subunit ribosomal RNA". It matches the Rfam family "Bacterial large subunit ribosomal RNA", at positions 13 to 239 of the family's 2925-position model. The record is from RNAcentral. Lineage: Eukaryota; Bigyra; Thraustochytrida; Thraustochytriidae.
CAAGUGCAUGUGGUGGAUGCCUUGGCGAUUACAGGCGACGAAAGACGUGAUAGCCUGCGAUAAGCUUCGGGGAGCUGGCAAAUAAGCUUUGAUCCGGAGAUUUCUGAAUGGGGAAACCCACCUGUCAUAAGGCAGGUAUCGUAUGAUGAAUACAUAGUCAUACGAGGCGAACGAGGGGAAGUGAAACAUCUCAGUACCCUCAGGAAGAGAAAACAACCGUGAUUCCG